Molecule: transfer RNA, 77 nt
Filed under: Candidatus Thiodiazotropha sp. (ex Gloverina cf. vestifex)
Lineage: Bacteria; Pseudomonadati; Pseudomonadota; Gammaproteobacteria; Chromatiales; Sedimenticolaceae
Description: tRNA-Trp
Rfam family: tRNA
About the family: Transfer RNA (tRNA) molecules are approximately 80 nucleotides in length.
Source: RNAcentral
AGGCCAAUAGCUCAAUUUGGUAGAGCAGCGGUCUCCAAAACCGCAGGUUGGGGGUUCGAUUCCCUCUUGGCCUGCCA